GGAGUUAUAGUCAAAAAUGACAUUUGAUUUGCACUCAAAAGGUGCUCCAUUAAGGAGCUAACUUCA
Molecule: transfer RNA, 66 nt
Filed under: Penaeus semisulcatus
Lineage: Eukaryota; Metazoa; Arthropoda; Malacostraca; Decapoda; Penaeidae
Description: tRNA-Ala
Rfam family: tRNA
About the family: Transfer RNA (tRNA) molecules are approximately 80 nucleotides in length. Their secondary structure includes four short double-helical elements and three loops (D, anti-codon, and T loops).
Source: RNAcentral